UGGGGGAUAUUGCACAAUGGGCGAAAGCCUGAUGCAGCAACGCCGCGUGAGGGAUGACGGUUUUCGGAUUGUAAACCUCUGUCUUUGGUGACGAAAACAAUGACGGUAGCCAAGGAGGAAGCCACGGCUAACUACGUGCCAGCAGCCGCGGUAAUACGUAGGUGGCAAGCGUUGUCCGGAAUUACUGGGUGUAAAGGGAGCGCAGGCGGGAAGGCAAGUCAGCGGUGAAAUCCAUGGGCUUAACCCAUGAACUGCCGUUGAAACUGUCUUUCUUGAGUGGAGUAGAGGCAGGCGGAAUUCCGAGUGUAGCGGUGAAAUGCGUAGAUAUUCGGAGGAACACCAGUGGCGAAGGCGGCCUGCUGGGCUCUAACUGACGCUGAGGCUCGAAAGUGUGGGGAGCAAACAGG
Molecule: ribosomal RNA, 407 nt
Filed under: uncultured bacterium
Lineage: Bacteria
Also listed under: 2 other names
Description: partial 16S ribosomal RNA
Rfam family: Bacterial small subunit ribosomal RNA
Source: RNAcentral